UUCCUACGGGGGGCAGCAGUGAGGAAUAUUGGUCAAUGGACGAGAGUCUGAACCAGCCAAGUAGCGUGAAGGAUGACUGCCCUAUGGGUUGUAAACUUCUUUUAUAUGGGAAUAAAACGUUCCACGUGUGGGAUUUUGUAUGUACCAUAUGAAUAAGGAUCGGCUAACUCCGUGCCAGCAGCCGCGGUAAUACGGAGGAUCCGAGCGUUAUCCGGAUUUAUUGGGUUUAAAGGGUGCGUAGGCGGACAGUCAAGUCAGCGGUAAAAAUGCGGUGCUCAACGCCGUACAGCCGUUGAAACUGGCAG
This 305-nucleotide ribosomal RNA is filed under the name uncultured bacterium. RNAcentral's name for it is "bacterial SSU rRNA". It matches the Rfam family "Bacterial small subunit ribosomal RNA", at positions 336 to 639 of the family's 1533-position model. The record is from RNAcentral.